AUCAACUCCCACAAGUUGAAAUAAAAAAUUACUCUCUCUUCCAAAUUUCUCUUCCUCUAAAACUCCAUUGAAGACCAAAUAGAUCCAAAAAGAAGAUCAAGCUUCAUGUUUUCCAACUCAAUUUCAUGGUUUUAUCAUCCAUAAGGUAUGGUUUCUUUCACUAUUGGGAAUCUUUUCACCAAGAGGUCCUUAAAAAAUGAUUUCUAAACCCUCAAAACAAGGGUUUUUAUCUUCACAUUGGUCUUCUUUAUUUAUACAAAAUUUUGAGUUGAUUGUGAUGAAUUAUGAUGAAUUAAUUAUGUUUAAGCAUGAAUUAAUGACUAUUAAUGAAUUUCUAUGAGUUUUCCCUUGACCCAUGUCUUUCCCCUAAAUUCAUAGUUUCUUGGAUUGAUUACGAAGAAUUGUUGAGGGUGAUGAACAUGUCACUUGUUACAUUGAUUUUAGAUACGUUAAUACUUCAUGAAUUUCCCUGUUUCAAAUGUUGUUUGUGAGUUAUUGGGUAUUAAAAUAUGAUGUCCCAUGAAGGUCAAUGAGGUAUGAUCUUGAUUCUCCUUUGAUCUCAAUUAUGCAAGGUCAAAUAUACUCUGUGAUAAUGAUACUUUAUAAAAGAUGUUUACCUAAUGUUCUAAAAGAGACUAAUGUGAACAUGUACGAUGUUAUAUGAUGAUUACUAAAGGAAAUAAUUGUUUAUUACCAAAUAGGCAUGUUAAUAAUAUUGAGGUCCCAGAUGGGUUUCUUCACGACCCGUAGUGUGGAUUCCAAAGGUAUGUGUUGUCUCAUAAGAUGGAAACCUUCACGAUUAGUUGUCGAGCUUUUUAGAAACAAUCUCCUUUACCCUUAACUAUGUUGGCACAGAGGACUCCAUCUUACUGGAUCAACCUAGAAUAACUAUGUACGAAUGGUUGCACCUUAGGAAAGGGUUAACCCUCUCUUUUCAGUGUGGGGUAGAACACCAGAUUCCAUGUAGCUCACGUGGUCUCAUGUCAGUCAUGGUACUUAUUUCCCUAACAUAAAGGUAUGAACAAGUUAUGUAUGUGAACUUUUAUUAGGGUUGUCUUAAAAGUUACUAAAUAGUGUGAGGGAGGGUAUGGAACUUGCGUUACACAUUGCACAUGUGGGAUCCUAUAGUAUGGUUCUAGUACUGUCCUAUUAUAAUUUUGAUUAUGGUUAUGAUUAUGUUUAUAAGCUAUUGCUAAAAUUGAUAUUUGAAGUAUGUUAUGUAAAAUAAUAUGCUGUAAGUAUGAAAUUGAUUGCUUAAUGUGAUACUUAGCUUUGAAUAGGGUUAUGUUGCUUUAUUCAUGGAAUUGCACAAGUGUUGCUUGAUUUAUUUAUAUGCUGAAAUUAUUAUGAUGUUCCCUAUAUGUGUAUAUUGAAUUGUUGGUCAUUAUUCAUUGUUUUGACUAAAUUGUGCCUUCUCUCAUGCAUUAACGAUUUUUAUGCAUAGGGACCAUACUUAGUACCUAUUGUUUGUACUAACCCAUACUUCUUUCCUUUUCCAAAACAUUGUAGGUUAAGGCCGUUGAAAUAUCAUUGAGGCUAAAGUGAAAUGGCUUGGACUAGACUCUCCAUGUUUUGGCAUGCCCUCUAGUUCGAGGAUGAUACCGCACACACUCUAUCUUAGUAGUACUUGUAUUGUUUAGUAGACAUUCAUUUCUUUCCUUUUGUUGAAAAUAUUAAUGUAAGCCCUAUGUGGCAAUUAUGGAUUCAUAUAAGGGCUUUUCCUAAAUUUUUUGACUUUGUUUAGUGAGUGAUAUAAGACAAAGUAUUAGACUAAAUUCCUAUGUGUUCUUAUGAUCUAUUGCGAGAAGCCUAUGUACGCUUUUGAUGUAGAGGUCUAUGUAAACCUCCAUUCUAUAUAAGAAGAAGUUUUAAUUUUUCUGCUAUUUUGACGUAUGAAUUGCUAUGACGAAUGCUAAGCGGCUUGUCUUUUUCCUCUUUGAGGAAAAUGAUGGCAGUAACUCCUAGGGGGUACUUUGGGUUAUAAUGAACUUUGUAUCAAUGCAUGCGGUGAAAUCUUUUUAGGAUUGUUGUAUCAUUAAACAACGUCUAUGUAGG
This 2055-nucleotide long non-coding RNA is filed under the name Solanum lycopersicum (tomato). RNAcentral describes it as "long non-coding RNA (SLYC_LNC000199)". The record is from RNAcentral. Lineage: Eukaryota; Viridiplantae; Streptophyta; Magnoliopsida; Solanales; Solanaceae.